RNAcentral lists this ribosomal RNA (468 nucleotides) under uncultured bacterium. RNAcentral describes it as "partial 16S ribosomal RNA". It matches the Rfam family "Bacterial small subunit ribosomal RNA", at positions 28 to 507 of the family's 1533-position model. The record is from RNAcentral.
GACGAACGCUGGCGGCGUGCUUAACACAUGCAAGUCGAACGGAAAGGCCCUGCUUUUGUGGGGUGCUCGAGUGGCGAACGGGUGAGUAACACGUGAGUAACCUGCCCUUGACUUUGGGAUAACUUCAGGAAACUGGGGCUAAUACCGGAUAGGAGCUCCUGCUGCAUGGUGGGGGUUGGAAAGUUUCUGCGGUUGGGGAUGGACUCGCGGCUUAUCAGCUUGUUGGUGGGGUAGUGGCUUACCAAGGCUUUGACGGGUAGCCGGCCUGAGAGGGUGACCGGCGACCUUGGGACUGCGAUACGGCCCAGACUGCUACGGGAGGCAGCAGUGGGGAAUAUUGCACAAUGGGCGGAAGCCUGAUGCAGCGACGCCGCGUGCGGGAUGACGGCCUUCGGGUUGUAAACCGCUUUAGCCUGUGACGAAGCGUGAGUGACGGUAAUGGGUAAAGAAGCACCGGCUAACUACGUG